RNAcentral lists this long non-coding RNA (354 nucleotides) under Homo sapiens (human). Its description in RNAcentral is "HSALNT0127782". The record is from RNAcentral. Lineage: Eukaryota; Metazoa; Chordata; Mammalia; Primates; Hominidae.
AUAUUUUUGAGGAAAAAAUUUUAAAUUGGACAAAAAGAUAUAAAGUGAACAGGAAAUAUCCUCCGACCACUUUCUCUCCCCCUCCAUCCUCACUCCCCAUGGGUAGCUAAUAUUAAUGCACUUUUUCAGAAAUGUUCCACUCUGCAUCAGUGGAACUGAACUAAACCAGACACUUUAGUACAUCCUUCAAUAACCUUUGUCUUAUUGACCGAACUAUGACUCGGCACACCCUUCCCCAGUCAAGAAUAUUGUUCUUCUACCUCUGUGACUUUGAACUCUCAACAGAAAUAUCCCCCUUUGGGGUAUGAGCCAUAUAAACAGGGCUAGACCAAGCUCUGUGAACUACCCCCUCCC